UACGAAGGGGGCUAGCGUUGCUCGGAAUCACUGGGCGUAAAGGGUGCGUAGGCGGGUCUUUUAAGUCAGGGGUGAAAUCCUGGAGCUCAACUCCAGAACUGCCUUUGAUACUGAGGAUCUUGAGUUCGGGAGAGGUGAGUGGAACUGCGAGUGUAGAGGUGAAAUUCGUAGAUAUUCGCAAGAACACCAGUGGCGAAGGCGGCUCACUGGUCCGAUACUGACGCUGAGGUGCGAAAGCGUGGGGAGCAAACAGG
RNAcentral lists this ribosomal RNA (254 nucleotides) under uncultured bacterium. RNAcentral describes it as "partial 16S ribosomal RNA". It matches the Rfam family "Bacterial small subunit ribosomal RNA", at positions 524 to 776 of the family's 1533-position model. The record is from RNAcentral.